CGCGUGGGAAUCUGCCCUUGGGUUCGGAAUAACAGUUGGAAACGACUGCUAAUACCGGAUGAUGACGUAAGUCCAAAGAUUUAUCGCCCAGGGAUGAGCCCGCGUAGGAUUAGCUAGUUGGUGGGGUAAAGGCCUACCAAGGCGACGAUCCUUAGCUGGUCUGAGAGGAUGAUCAGCCACACUGGGACUGAGACACGGCCCAG
This 203-nucleotide ribosomal RNA is filed under the name uncultured bacterium. RNAcentral describes it as "partial 16S ribosomal RNA". It matches the Rfam family "Bacterial small subunit ribosomal RNA", at positions 114 to 334 of the family's 1533-position model. The record is from RNAcentral.